RNAcentral lists this ribosomal RNA (837 nucleotides) under uncultured bacterium. Its description in RNAcentral is "bacterial SSU rRNA". It matches the Rfam family "Bacterial small subunit ribosomal RNA", at positions 54 to 890 of the family's 1533-position model. The record is from RNAcentral.
CAUGCAAGUCGAACGAGAAUCUACUGAAGGAGGAUUCGUCCAACGGAAGUAGAGGAAAGUGGCGGACGGGUGAGUAGCGCGUGAGGAACCUGCCUUGAAGAGGGGGGCAACAGUUGGAAACGACUGCUAAUACCGCAUGAUGCAUAGGGGUCGCAUGAUCUUUAUGCCAAAGAUUUAUCGCUUCAAGAUGGCCUCGCGUCUGAUUAGCUGGUUGGCGGGGUAACGGCCCACCAAGGCGACGAUCAGUAGCCGGACUGAGAGGUUGAACGGCCACAUUGGGACUGAGAUACGGCCCAGACUCCUACGGGAGGCAGCAGUGGGGAAUAUUGGGCAAUGGGCGCAAGCCUGACCCAGCAACGCCGCGUGAAGGAAGAAGGCUUUCGGGUUGUAAACUUCUUUUAAGAGGGAAGAGCAGAAGACGGUACCUCUAGAAUAAGCCACGGCUAACUACGUGCCAGCAGCCGCGGUAAUACGUAGGUGGCAAGCGUUGUCCGGAUUUACUGGGUGUAAAGGGCGUGCAGCCGGGUCUGCAAGUCAGAUGUGAAAUCCAUGGGCUCAACCCAUGAACUGCAUUUGAAACUGUAGAUCUUGAGUGUCGGAGGGGCAAUCGGAAUUCCUAGUGUAGCGGUGAAAUGCGUAGAUAUUAGGAGGAACACCAGUGGCGAAGGCGGAUUGCUGGACGAUAACUGACGGUGAGGCGCGAAAGUGUGGGGAGCAAACAGGAUUAGAUACCCUGGUAGUCCACACUGUAAACGAUGAAUACUAGGUGUGCGGGGACUGACCCCCUGCGUGCCGCAGUAAACACAAUAAGUAUUCCACCUGGGGAGUACGAUCGCA